This is a long non-coding RNA of Rosa chinensis, 1068 nucleotides long. RefSeq lists it as uncharacterized. NCBI's taxonomy places the organism in Eukaryota, Viridiplantae, Streptophyta, Magnoliopsida, Rosales, Rosaceae. The record is from RefSeq and is a predicted model, not a curated record. The transcript has 2 exons.
GUGUCUCAGUCACUGUCUGUUUGAGAAGUGAGAAUCAAUUACGCAGCUACCGAGCCACCUCCCUCUAAGGCUCAGUCCUAUCGGUCUGACUUCCUCAGUCCCUCACCGCGACUCCCCCUGACUCUCUGAAGCUCAGACGCUCAGUCCCGUCACCGAGCCACCUCCACCGCUCCACAAAUUGAAGUAAGGGUCAAUUAGAAUUGCUGUUCAUUUGAGUUUUAAUCGAUUCUGUUUGUAUAUGAAUGAAUGGGUUUGUCCUUUUUGAGGAUUGUUCGUUUGUUGCUGAAAAAGUUUAUAGAUGCGAGUCAGUUAUAUGCUCUCCGGGCCAAGAUGAUGAUAAUGAUGUGAGGGUUGAAUGCCAUUUUUGGAUGCGAGGGUCAAUUGGAGUUGCUGUUUAUUAAGGUUUUAAACUUUUAAUUGAUUCUGUUUGUAUAUGAUGCAUUGAUGUUUGUAUAAUCAAAGUUUGAUUUCCUUAGCAGCCAUGGCUUCCUCCACGGUUUCAUUUGGGUUAUAAUCAAAGUCUGUUUGUAUGAUGCAUUGAAUACAUUAAUUGUCUGUUUCCGUAGCUCCUCUUUGCUGUAUACAAUCAAUUAGAAUACCCUGCUUUUGUUGUGUAGACGAUGAUAGUAUUGGAAGGGAGCAGCGGAGGACAAUUUGGUUGGGGGUUUUAUCCCUUCAAGUCUUCAUCUUGGACAUGAGGAUCGAGGGCAUCCCUUAACAAAAUGAAGACAAACUAAUUCCAUAUGCUACGUUUUAACUCGUAUGGAAAAUAGAACAAUCAAUGUAAGCACAUGAAUCAUAAGCUUCCCUCCAGCUAAGGAAGUAAAGGCCAAUUAAGGCCCCAAAAAGUGAUCGAACUGCUUGCGUGCAUGGUUGGGUAAUUGUCUUCCCUUCACAUGAAUCGAGUACACCAUUUUCCAUCACUAACCAAACUUUCCUUCAUUGAUAAUUAAAGCUUCGGUUUAGUUUAGUUUAAGCGAUUCCUUUCGUUAUCCUCGCACUAACGUGUUGUGUGUGCAUUUUUUCUUUUCUUUACAAACCUAUUGAAAGUGACAGGUUUGUUUUCGA